GAUGAACGCUGGCGGCGUGCCUAAUACAUGCAAGUCGAGCGAACAGACGAGGAGCUUGCUCCUCUGACGUUAGCGGCGGACGGGUGAGUAACACGUGGAUAACCUACCUAUAAGACUGGGAUAACUUCGGGAAACCGGAGCUAAUACCGGAUAAUAUAUUGAACCGCAUGGUUCAAUAGUGAAAGACGGUUUUGCUGUCACUUAUAGAUGGAUCCGCGCCGCAUUAGCUAGUUGGUAAGGUAACGGCUUACCAAGGCGACGAUGGGUAGCCGACCUGAGAGGGUGAUCGGCCACACUGGAACGGAGACACGGUCCAGACUCCUACGGGAGGCAGCAGUAGGGAAUCUUCCGCAAUGGGCGAAAGCCUGACGGAGCAACGCCGCGUGAGUGAUGAAGGUCUUCGGAUCGUAAAACUCUGUUAUUAGGGAAGAACAAAUGUGUAAGUAACUAUGCACGUCUUGACGGUACCUGAUCAGAAAGCCACGGCUAACUACGUG
RNAcentral lists this ribosomal RNA (497 nucleotides) under uncultured bacterium. RNAcentral's name for it is "partial 16S ribosomal RNA". It matches the Rfam family "Bacterial small subunit ribosomal RNA", at positions 28 to 507 of the family's 1533-position model. The record is from RNAcentral.